GCCAAGUUUGACAAAGAUAUUAUUUUACAAACGCUGGAAUGAGCUCUUGCAGCUUCGACGGUACCAAGAAAAGGUGUUGAUUCCCUUGAUCAGAGCAAGAAAGAACGCCAAGAUUGAAAAUUUAAGCAAAGAUAAAGAAGAUAAAGUGGAAAAGGAAGAUUUUAUACUAUCAUAUGUUGAUACUCUGAUAGAUUUGCACCUCCCACAUGAGAACAGAAAGCUUGAAGAAGGGGAAAUUGUUAGUUUAUGCUCUGAAUUUCUUGAUGGAGGUACGGAUACUACAUCCACAGCCCUGCAAUGGAUCAUUGCAAAUUUAGUCAAGUACCCACACAUUCAAGAGAAGCUUUUCAUGGAAAUUAAGGAUGUUGUUGGGGUUGAAGAGACAGAAGUUAAAGAAGAAUAUUUGCAGAUGAUGCCAUAUCUGAAAGCAGUGAUUUUGGAAGGAUUAAGGCGACACCCACCAGGGCACUUUGUGUUGCCACAUGCUGUGAGAGAAGAUGCUGUUCUUGAUGGAUUUCUGGUUCCAAAACAUGGAACUAUAAAUUUCAUGGUUGCAGAGAUGGG
This 564-nucleotide long non-coding RNA is filed under the name Manihot esculenta (cassava). Its description in RNAcentral is "long non-coding RNA (MESC_LNC005060)". Lineage: Eukaryota; Viridiplantae; Streptophyta; Magnoliopsida; Malpighiales; Euphorbiaceae. The record is from RNAcentral.